Molecule: unclassified non-coding RNA, 247 nt
Filed under: uncultured fungus
Lineage: Eukaryota; Fungi
Description: sequence contains ITS1, 5.8S rRNA gene
Source: RNAcentral
ACAAAUUGAUCAUGGCCCAAGCCUUAACCGGCCGAGCCAGAGUUUCUCUCGCGAAAGCGAGUCAGAAACCCAAACCCAAUUGUGAACCGUUUUCUGUCUCUGGCGGUGGGGUUCGCCCUGUGGCUGACCUGUCAGCAUGACGUUUGUGAAAACGACGUGCCGUGGACAAGCCGCCAAACACAUCUUCAACAACGCUUUGUCUAAUAUCAAUUGUCUAACCUGUUUACUUUGUAUAAAUAUACAAAAA